CAACGACGGGUUUUUGAAAACCGUUGUAGCUGAACCCAUUGUACAAAGAUGAUUUUACAAAACAGUCUUAGAAUGAUAUAAGUUAUUUGUCGCACCUGGCUUGCUCAUUGUUCUCUCAGUCUCAUGCAGCUCUUUGUAACACUCAACCUCUCCUCUCACUCACGCCUAAGGUUCUUCGAGUCCUUCUGUUCGUCGUUGUCGCAUUGCGCUCGAGACCCUAGAAGUGAAUUGUGGUUGCAGAGAAAAAAUGGAGGGAACAAGAGCAGGAACCGCAACAGGGUCUUACAAGUGUGGCAAACCUGGUCACUGGUUACGAGAUUGCCCUUUCUCCGCUCCCAAUUCCAAUUUCAAUCUCAAUCCAAACCCUAACUCUAUCACCGCCACCACUCCCAAUCCCAAUACUCCAAAUCGUUCUUCGUCUUCUUUCAAGCCCAAAUCCGCCACCAAAAAGCCCAACAUGCUCCCUCGAACAAAACCCAAACUCACACCGGAGCUUCUUCUCUCCGACGACGACCUCGGUUACGCCCUUCGCUAUUUCCCUCGCAAGUUCAAAUACUGUGGUCGUGGCCACGAGUUUGUUCACAAAGUAGAGAAAGUUGCUGCUACAAGGCGUGGAAAGGUACGCACUCUUUCUCCUCAGAUGUCUAUUUCUUUAGUGUUACAUAUUAGCAUGCAACUAUGCAUAAAUAAAUAUAAAUUAAGUAUGAUACUGGAUAGGGUCACACUGUUAGGUUAGGUGUCUGUAUCCUGCCUAUGUUGUCUUAUUACUCCCUCCUUUUGGAAAAUUAAUUAACUUUAAUCAACCUGGCUGUUAAAUUGUACAUAAUUAUCAUGUGAAUUUCAAACAAUUAAGCAGCUAUUAAUUUGAGAUCACAUUUUUGGGUCAAUACUUAGAUGUAGUUCCUUUGGUGCUUUUGAUGUUGUUCUUCAAUUAAAAUUUGAGUUUGUGUUUGGUAACCUGCAAAACAAAGGUAUACCAAAGUGAAACCUUAAUUUUGUUACAGUGAUUAGUUGAAACUAAUUUUCAACUGAGGGUGAAAAUAAAGUACAUUGGUAUAAAAAAGGAUUACUUUUUAAUUCCAAAUUCCCCACCUACUGGAUCAAUUGAGUGUGUAAGCACUCGCGUGUUUACCAUGAAGGAUUGCCUUAGCUGAAAGUUCCAGAGUCCUAGUUGCAAAUUUCAAAUUCUCUUUUGUGCCAUUUGAAGUCAUAAGCCUUUAGGUUAGCAUUUACCUACUAAACUUUGAUUCCCUUAACCUUUGACUCAAUAGAGCUAUGCUACACUUAUCUGUAGUGGUUACUGAACAACUUUAUGUUUGAUUGUUCAUGAAGUCUAAAUCUUUGACUGGCUAGGCAAUAUGAUUUAGUGGUUUUUGCUUUCCUUUUUUCUUCUUUUGUGUUUGGUAUUCACUUUUUCCCCCUUAUGUAUAAUGCUUGUCUAUUCUUGAUAGUUGGGUCAUUUAUCAUUCUAUAUGAGUGGAAAGAUAUGAGUAUGACAGUAUUUUGAGUUACCUUGAAACUAAGGGCCAAAGAGGACUUUGAGGCUUAGGUGAUGGUGUCAGAUUUGAUAUGGGGGAUUAUGUAUAACGUAAAUAUGAAUGCCAUAGUGAAUCCAUACAUUGUCAAUCUUGGAAGAGCAAACAUGCCAUAGUGAAUCCAUACAUUGUCCAUGUUGGAAGAGCAAAUUUUCCAAGUAGAAAUUUUUCAUAGGCAAUGUUUUUAACAACGGAAAUUUCUGACUGCCUCUUAACUUUUUGCUAGUCUAUGGAUAUUCUUCAGGUGCUAGUGGAAAGUGGAACAAGUGAGACUCUGCUCAUAUCUUAUGCUUAUUUCAUAUUUCUGUACAGAGCUAUCUAUGUAAAGUCUAUUCUGCGUGUGUUUUUUCCUCUAAUUUUGUUGGUUUGGCACAUCAAGAAAGACACACGAGGAGCUAUGAGCUGUCUCCAUUGCCUAUGGACAUGUGCUUCUAAGGUCUAUAAACUACCAUUCCCAUGAAGAACAUUUCAAUUCUGAUCAGUAGUUAAACUUUUCCCUACACCAAAAUCAUCUCUUCACUAAUGGAAGGUGGACUAAAGGGAAGCUCAUUUCAAGAUAUGAAGUUUGUUUGUUGAAAUGGGUGUUGGCUAUGACCUUCAUGGGUAUUCUAUUUUAUUAUUUUAGUCUUCUAGAGCAUAAAGUUUAGUGAGUAAAGUGAAGACCAAAAGCUAUGAUUUUUUAAUGAAAUAUAACUAUGAGAAUUCAAUUCCUAAUUCUUUUAUAAAAAAAUUGCUGCUUUACAGCAAAACUCAAUUUUAGUCUCAUUUAUGUUGCCUACUUACAUUUGAUAGUUUCUAACAUUCUUUUUUUUGUCUCUUCGAAUUUUUUAUAUAUUCAAAUGAUAUUAUUCUUAAAAUAUAUAACAGUCAGGACAUAAUAGUUGCUGGAAUGAGAACAUGCAGAGAUGCAAUUGCUAGCAAUUCAAUUCCAGCUUUUGUAAAGGUAGCAUCCUUGGUGUUACAUAUGAUCACAUGAAACUACAAGUCAAACUGGGGGUGCCUCAUCCUCUGCAAAAAAAACUUGGACAAGGACAAAAUUAAGUGUGUGUUUCCAUAGUAUUAUGUAUUUUAUCAAACUAUCUACCACCUAGAGAUAGUUUGACAUCAUCUACCCCAUCCCCAUCUGCAAUAUCUAUACCGGUCAGAUCUUCCGAUGUUGCACCUACACCAUCUCCACUUCCAACUGAAGUUAGACCAUCUCCAUCACAUUAAGAUGCACGUGGACCGUCCCCGGUACCUACAUCCACACCAUCCCCAUUCCUGAUUGAUGCACGUGAAUCAUCCUCGAUACCUAUAUCCACACCAUCUCCAUCCUUGGCUGUAGCCAACAUGCUUACAGAUGAAGACGUUCCAAAUUUGGCCAUGGAAGACUCUCCCUCAAUGAUCGUCUUAUGGUUACACUUAUCAAUGGAGCGUUUCAUCCAUCUAAGGUUGCAACAAAGGAUCAUCAGGAACAAUUUGGUCACCCUUGGCCUUCAUAGGGAGCAAUUCCAAAAGAUCAUCAGGAAGUUUUUUCCAGCAUUUUAAAGUAACUUAUCUUUCUGUAAUGAAUUAGUUCACUGGUUGAAAUGGAUAGUUAUGCUGAUUUUGUUUUAUUUGAUCUGAAAUUGUAAAAUUGGUAUUUUUCUCA
Molecule: RNA transcript, 3165 nt
Organism: Glycine soja
Lineage: Eukaryota; Viridiplantae; Streptophyta; Magnoliopsida; Fabales; Fabaceae
Exons: 6
Source: RefSeq, a predicted model, not a curated record